Schizosaccharomyces pombe (fission yeast) is the source of this 214-nucleotide non-coding RNA. The record is from the annotation of a GenBank genome assembly. Lineage: Eukaryota; Fungi; Ascomycota; Schizosaccharomycetes; Schizosaccharomycetales; Schizosaccharomycetaceae.
UCAGAAAGCAUGCCAAUGGCAUCUUUAUUGUCGCUCCACUGGUCCAUUGCAAUGAACCUGUAUAAUUGCACGGUUUCGGUGUUACAAUACGUGUGCAUCCCAACUUCUCAGACUCAGGUGCUUCGGUGAAUUCGGAGUUACAUCAGAGUGUAAUUGUAUAAAUAUGACCGAAUUCACCGAAUAACAAGAAUCGUGAUCUCUCAAAGUAUCACGG